Long non-coding RNA from Nilaparvata lugens (brown planthopper), 338 nucleotides. RefSeq lists it as uncharacterized. The transcript is spliced from 2 exons. The record is from RefSeq and is a predicted model, not a curated record. NCBI's taxonomy places the organism in Eukaryota, Metazoa, Arthropoda, Insecta, Hemiptera, Delphacidae.
AUAAAAUAAAUAUUCCAAUUUUAAAAUUAUUAUUCAACAAAGGAAAAAUUAAAAAGAAACAGUAAUUGUGAUGUAGUCCACCCACCAUGAGCUGAGCGUUGGCUUAACAGUUUUGUAUCAAAUUAUGGUGUUGUGUAUCAAGUUGAGAUUAUAUUCUGUAUAAUGUUGUGGUGAUACUGUAUCAUAUGUGAUUAGCCUAUACUGUAUCAUUUAUGGUGAUAUGCCGUGGUAAAGGACCGUUAUGUAGCAAAUGUGAGUGUUAACUGAAGCCGAUAGUCCUAGUAGUUGUUUUUGGUGAAGCUAUGUGACGCUGGUAGUCUCUCAUACUGUGCCCUUCU